CAUUUCCCAGGACACAGAAAAGAAAAUGCCUGAGAUACUUGGGUCAGCAGUGUUAUCUUAGAUAACAGUAAAAAACAGGGUGAAUUCUGCAAAACCAAUCAAAUUUAUCCUGCAUGUACCAUGAAAAAGAAGGACUGUGUCAGUUCUAUCUGUUUGGCAUUCUCUGUGUUUUGUUUUGUGUUUUUUUUUUCUUCUUCUUUAUUUCUGUAAAAGUUUUUUAAAAACAACUGUAUUACUUAAUUCAAACAGCCAUAGACUUUUGCUCAAACUGAAAUCCAUCACGACAGUUCGGUGGACAUAUGUUUAGGCAUAUAUUACGCGUUAUGUAAUCUUACACCAGUAAAGCUUCUUUCAUGUUAAAGUGCAUUAAUACCCAUCAGCCAUAAUUGGUUUUGGCCUAUCUGGGUGGUAUUUGCAGGGAAUGAGCUCUUCACAGGCUCUGCAGCUGUGCUCCUUGGGUGCCAGCAUGGAGGCUGCCUGGACAGCCAUCAGAGCAGUGCUCUGUCAGCUGAAGGAGCACGGCCAGACAAAUGAGAGAGAGGCAAGGCCGUACGUGCUACUUUCUCGCGGUGUGAAGUAGCUGUCAGGCCUGAGGCACACUUUUUCAUUUUGGAAGCAAAGGCAUUAUACUGUCUAUUUCUGUCCUAUGCAGGCAAAUUCAACUGUGUCUUGGCGCUUGCUUCCUGCAGGCUGUCAUAAUCAGGACAAAUCAAGCAGAGCAGGUGAAGAUGAGAGCACAUAGACACUGGGAUGACACUGGAAAAAGCUGACCACCUCAGAAACUUACCCAGUAUGUCAGAUAAAAGCAUUGUGCAAGGAAGACAAUUCCUCCUGUUUUCAUGACUGCACUUCAAAUAUUUGACUCUUGUUUACUGUUUAUCCUGGCUACCUAUACUUGACACUUUAUUUCCCCCUUUGCUGUCCAAAAUCCCAGUAACUUGUCAAUGUGAAGAAUGACCACAGCUACUCAGGAUGCCAGCUAAUUUCAGGGCAACUACGAUUUUUUACAGGGGUGAAUCAGAAGGUGUCAGUUUUCACCAGUGCUCAGAAUCACAUCCUAACAGAAACUGGGGACAAAACUCUUGCCAAUUUCACUGAAAUUACAUAAAGAGGGGGAACGUUUUGAAAGCAAAUCUUAUAGAGAAAUUCAAAGUGCUGUAUGACAAAAUAUUUGGAAAUGUGUGUUGUUUCUGAUUAUAUCACAUGUAAAGUUGUCUGAUCUGCUGACCACCAUCACUUCCAGAUUCUUUUCUUUACUGCAGAUUUUUGUGCUUUUUCUCUUAAUAAAAUAACGUCUUGUUUAAUUUAAAACAGUGGAAUUGUACUUUUGAAUAGAAAGUAUGGUAGAAUUAUACUGCUUUCUUUACAAAAGGCAGCACAAUUAGAAAAUCAGCUACCCAGUCUCUCUUUGCAAAUAUUUAAUAUCUUCUUGUAGAAAUUAGAGAUUACAUAUGUAUCCAGUGAAAAUCACUAUGGGAACCUCUCAUUAUUUGUGUCUGUGACAGGUUGGGGGAGGGGGCUUAGCCAUCAAAGUAUAACUGAAUAUUACAAAAUCUUAAGUACUGUAAAAAUCUCUUUUAUUAU
Molecule: long non-coding RNA, 1584 nt
Organism: Cygnus atratus (black swan)
Lineage: Eukaryota; Metazoa; Chordata; Aves; Anseriformes; Anatidae
Exons: 3
Source: RefSeq, a predicted model, not a curated record